This 465-nucleotide ribosomal RNA is filed under the name Vreelandella stevensii. RNAcentral's name for it is "partial 16S ribosomal RNA". It matches the Rfam family "Bacterial small subunit ribosomal RNA", at positions 338 to 795 of the family's 1533-position model. The record is from RNAcentral. Lineage: Bacteria; Pseudomonadati; Pseudomonadota; Gammaproteobacteria; Oceanospirillales; Halomonadaceae.
CCUACGGGGGGCAGCAGUGGGGAAUAUUGGACAAUGGGGGCAACCCUGAUCCAGCCAUGCCGCGUGUGUGAAGAAGGCCCUCGGGUUGUAAAGCACUUUCAGUGAGGAAGAACGCCUGGUGGUUAAUACCCAUCAGGAAAGACAUCACUCACAGAAGAAGCACCGGCUAACUCCGUGCCAGCAGCCGCGGUAAUACGGAGGGUGCGAGCGUUAAUCGGAAUUACUGGGCGUAAAGCGCGCGUAGGUGGCUUGAUAAGCCGGUUGUGAAAGCCCCGGGCUCAACCUGGGAACGGCAUCCGGAACUGUCUAGCUAGAGUGCAGGAGAGGAAGGUAGAAUUCCCGGUGUAGCGGUGAAAUGCGUAGAGAUCGGGAGGAAUACCAGUGGCGAAGGCGGCCUUCUGGACUGCCACUGACACUGAGGUGCGAAAGCGUGGGUAGCAAACAGGAUUAGAUACCCGAGUAGUC